RNAcentral lists this long non-coding RNA (579 nucleotides) under Callithrix jacchus (white-tufted-ear marmoset). RNAcentral's name for it is "lncRNA (ENSCJAG00000085782.1)". The record is from RNAcentral. Lineage: Eukaryota; Metazoa; Chordata; Mammalia; Primates; Cebidae.
GGCCCAGAAAGAGAGGAAAUGGCUUGUCUAAGGCCACAUAGCAAGUCCAUGCUGAGCUGUUCCUGGAAUCCAGGUCUCCCACUUUGCAGCAUGUGUGUGCACCCGUCUGGGAGCCUGGUUGACCAGGACUGUGUGCCUGGUGUACUUUGUGUUAGUGAUUUAUGUCCAAUGGGUCCUGGAAAUUUCCCUGACUGACCAUCAGCCCGCAAGGUUCCAAACAGAAUCACAGGGAAAUGGGAAGAAGGAAGGCAUGGAAAGGAAGGCAGGAGAAGCAGAGAAGUACGUAUGCGUGUAGAUGCGCAUCUCUCUGCUUCGCAGGGGUGGAGUGUGAUGCCAACGGGCGGGUGUGUCUGCAGCUCCCUAGAAAACAAGCCGCAUUUGGGAGCCUGGAAUCUCAGCAAGUAGAACAAUCGUUUGUGACUGCUACAUCCAUCACAGGCUGAGGUCCUGCAGCAGCCCAGACCGGAGGAGCCGCCACGGGCCCCGCUGCCUUCACCACAGCCUGCACUUUAUUAGAAUUUAUACGUUGCCCCCAUUGAGGGGGAAAAUAAUUAACACCCCUACAAAUAUAUCGUAAAC